AAUGUUGUGCCGGAAUAACGGAUCAUGUUGAUGUCAUGAAAUAUGAGGGGGUCUCCUCCAGCAUUA
This 66-nucleotide transfer RNA is filed under the name Leptochiton nexus. Its description in RNAcentral is "tRNA-Ile". Lineage: Eukaryota; Metazoa; Mollusca; Polyplacophora; Lepidopleurida; Lepidopleuridae. The record is from RNAcentral.